Molecule: ribosomal RNA, 516 nt
Filed under: uncultured Salmonella sp.
Lineage: Bacteria; Pseudomonadati; Pseudomonadota; Gammaproteobacteria; Enterobacterales; Enterobacteriaceae
Description: bacterial SSU rRNA
Rfam family: Bacterial small subunit ribosomal RNA
Source: RNAcentral
AGAUUGAACGCUGGCGGCAGGCCUAACACAUGCAAGUCGAACGGUAACAGGAAGCAGCUUGCUGCUUCGCUGACGAGUGGCGGACGGGUGAGUAAUGUCUGGGAAACUGCCUGAUGGAGGGGGAUAACUACUGGAAAGGGUGGCUAAUACCGCAUAACGUCGCAGGACCAAAGAGGGGGACCUUCGGGCCUCUUGCCAUCAGAUGUGCCCAGAUGGGAUUAGCUUGUUGGUGAGGUAACGGCUCACCAAGGCGACGAUCCCUAGCUGGUCUGAGAGGAUGACCAGCCACACUGGAACUGAGACACGGUCCAGACUCCUACGGGAGGCAGCAGUGGGGAAUAUUACACAAUGGGCGCAAGCCUGAUGCAGCCAUGCCGCGUGUAUGAAGAAGGCCUUCGGGUUGUAAAGUACUUUCAGCGGGGAGGAAGGUGUUGUGGUUAAUAACCGCACCAAUUGACGUUACCCGCAGAAGAAGCACCGGCUAACUCCGUGCCAGCAGCCGCGGUAAUACGGAGG